RNAcentral lists this ribosomal RNA (729 nucleotides) under uncultured Actinomycetes bacterium. RNAcentral's name for it is "bacterial SSU rRNA". It matches the Rfam family "Bacterial small subunit ribosomal RNA", at positions 717 to 1443 of the family's 1533-position model. The record is from RNAcentral. Lineage: Bacteria; Bacillati; Actinomycetota; Actinomycetes.
GAAGGCACUUCUCUGGCCCGUAACUGACGCUGAGGAGCGAAAGCGUGGGGAGCGAACAGGAUUAGAUACCCUGGUAGUCCACGCCGUAAACGUUGGGCGCUAGAUGUGGGUCACAUUCCACGUGAUCCGUGUCGCAGCUAACGCAUUAAGCGCCCCGCCUGGGGAGUACGGCCGCAAGGCUAAAACUCAAAGGAAUUGACGGGGGCCCGCACAAGCGGCGGAGCAUGCGGAUUAAUUCGAUGCAACGCGAAGAACCUUACCAAGACUUGACAUAUUCAGGAAAACUGCAGAAAUGUAGUCCCCCGCAAGGGUCUGUUUACAGGUGGUGCAUGGUUGUCGUCAGCUCGUGUCGUGAGAUGUUGGGUUAAGUCCCGCAACGAGCGCAACCCUCGUCCUAUGUUGCCAGCACGUUAUGGUGGGAACUCAUGGGAGACUGCCGGGGUCAACUCGGAGGAAGGUGGGGAUGACGUCAAAUCAUCAUGCCCCUUAUGUCUUGGGCUUCACGCAUGCUACAAUGGCCGGUACAAAGGGCUGCAAUACCGCAAGGUGGAGCGAAUCCCAAAAAGCCGGUCUCAGUUCGGAUUGAGGUCUGCAACUCGACCUCAUGAAGUCGGAGUCGCUAGUAAUCGCAGAUCAGCAACGCUGCGGUGAAUACGUUCCCGGGCCUUGUACACACCGCCCGUCAAGUCACGAAAGUCGGUAACACCCGAAGCCGGUGGCCUAACCGUA